Non-coding RNA from Pelobates cultripes (western spadefoot toad), 229 nucleotides. The record is from the annotation of a GenBank genome assembly. NCBI's taxonomy places the organism in Eukaryota, Metazoa, Chordata, Amphibia, Anura, Pelobatidae.
CUGAUGCGCUGGAAGAAUUGUUUUGGCCUAACGUAAUAUAUUUUUUACCCCAUGCAGUUGUUCAUAAACUCUUCAUACUACCUAGACUUUCUGGUUAUAGAAGAACAAAAAAACAAGGAGGUUUCAGAUAUAACAGAAUUAGUCAAAAAAUGGGUCAGAUCAAAAUAACAAACCACAAGAGUAAUGUCUGCUUUUUGGGACAAAACUAGAUAGAAAAUGUUGUUUGUAU